CUACGGGAUGCAGCAGUGGGGAAUAUUGGACAAUGGGGGAAACCCUGAUCCAGCAAUGCCGCGUGUGUGAAGAAGGCCUGCGGGUUGUAAAGCACUUUCGGUUGGGAGGACUGCUUCUAGCACUAAUAUUGUUGGAAGUUGACGUUACCUUCAGAAGAAGCACCGGCUAACUCCGUGCCAGCAGCCGCGGUAAUGCGGAGGGUGCAAGCGUUAAUCGGAAUUACUGGGCGUAAAGCGCGCGUAGGCGGCUAGAUCAGUCGGGUGUGAAAGCCCCGGGCUUAACCUGGGAACUGCAUCCGAUACUGUCUAGCUUGAGUACAGGAGAGGAGAGUGGAAUUCCACAUGUUGCGGUGAAAUGCGUAGAUAUGUGGAGGAACACCAAUGGCGAGGGCAGCUCUCUGGCCUGAUACUGACGCUGAGGUGCGAAAGCGUGGGGAGCAAACAGGAUUAGAUACCCGAGUAGUC
RNAcentral lists this ribosomal RNA (465 nucleotides) under uncultured bacterium. RNAcentral describes it as "partial 16S ribosomal RNA". It matches the Rfam family "Bacterial small subunit ribosomal RNA", at positions 339 to 795 of the family's 1533-position model. The record is from RNAcentral.